AAUCAUGUGGUUGGUUCUCCUAGCAACCAGCUCAUGUCCUGAAGCUAUCCAGGAGCCUCUAGCUACCAGCCAUCUUAUUAGCAUGCAAAACACUUAUUGUUUCAAAUAUUCCCAAAGUUUUAGGAACUGUGUGCCUUGAAAGGAGCCAGGAAAUCAUACUAAUAUAAUUUUUCCUGGGUCAAUGUGGCAGGACUGGAGAAUAGACCUUGGCAGUGAGAGGGGGCAAAUGUUUUUCAUGAAAAUUUGCAAGUAAUAUUACUGGUGCUGAUAUUACAUAAAACUGAUACUGCUGACAUUUGGCAUAGGUGAUAUAUAGAGAGGUAGCUUUUCUGAGGGUGAUUUCCAGUGAGAACAGUCUUGCUAGUUAGAGAAAGCUACCUGGGGCUGUUAUAAAAAACAUAGAAAGAAAGUAUACACUGAAGUGGUGACACCUCUUUCACAUGAUAGAGAUGUCUGUCACUAUCUUGAGCUGCAGUCACCAUCUCAUCCUUCACAGACAACAGGAUUUUCAAGCAGCCCAAGGAAAACGCCAACAAAGGUGUCCCCAGACAGAAGACAAAGAUCCAGAAUCCUCUUUCUAAAGAAGAUGGUCAAGCUGAGAAGAAACUGGACAUCCCCAAGAUUUCCUCUAUCUUAGUCCCCCUGGUCCUCUGAGGACUGAGACUGCUCACCUGACUUUUCCUGGGUACCAUGAGAAAGCCAGAGGGGAAAGAAGGGGGUGAGUAGAUCUUACCAGUCAGCUGGAUUCGUGUCCAAUGGAUGUUCUGGUUGGAAUUGGAAAGGACCUUUUGGACUGCAGCUGCACAAGGAAGAGAGAGAGGGAAAAAAGGAAGGAUGAGGGAAAAGUGAAGUGAGAGAAAAGAUGAGGCAGGUGGCCAGAGACCCUUAGGAUUCAGAAAUUAACUCAGGAUGAGCUGCCACUGCUUUCUGGGUUACAGGAGAGCCUUUGCCCCCAGCACCUGUCCCGGGUUUUGGCACCAAAUAUAAGAGUUAAGGAGGAAAGAAACAUAAAACAUGGCUUGGCAGUCAAAGACAGGUUUUCUUUAGUUAAAACCUGAGAGGCACUGCUGGCUGAUUGUGGUCAGAAGUACUUUCUCUUACAGGCUAAAAGUAUAUAUUGGUUUUAGGGUGAAA
Molecule: long non-coding RNA, 1134 nt
Filed under: Callithrix jacchus (white-tufted-ear marmoset)
Lineage: Eukaryota; Metazoa; Chordata; Mammalia; Primates; Cebidae
Description: lncRNA (ENSCJAG00000073514.1)
Source: RNAcentral